This 465-nucleotide ribosomal RNA is filed under the name uncultured bacterium. RNAcentral describes it as "partial 16S ribosomal RNA". It matches the Rfam family "Bacterial small subunit ribosomal RNA", at positions 28 to 507 of the family's 1533-position model. The record is from RNAcentral.
GACGAACGCUGGCGGCGUGCUUAACACAUGCAAGUCGAACGGAAAGGCCCUGCUUGCAGGGUACUCGAGUGGCGAACGGGUGAGUAACACGUGGGUGAUCUGCCCUGCACUUCGGGAUAAGCCUGGGAAACUGGGUCUAAUACCGGAUAGGAGCCAUUUUUAGUGUGAUGGUUGGAAAGUUUUUUCGGUGUAGGAUGAGCUCGCGGCCUAUCAGCUUGUUGGUGGGGUAAUGGCCUACCAAGGCGGCGACGGGUAGCCGGCCUGAGAGGGUGGACGGCUACAUUGGGACUGAGAUACGGCCCAGACUCCUACGGGAGGCAGCAGUGGGGAAUAUUGCACAAUGGGCGCAAGCCUGAUGCAGCGACGCCGCGUGGGGGAUGACGGCCUUCGGGUUGUAAACUCCUUUCGCUAGGGACGAAGCUUUUUGUGACGGUACCUAGAUAAGAAGCACCGGCUAACUACGUG